Molecule: ribosomal RNA, 1540 nt
Filed under: uncultured Salinivibrio sp.
Lineage: Bacteria; Pseudomonadati; Pseudomonadota; Gammaproteobacteria; Vibrionales; Vibrionaceae
Description: bacterial SSU rRNA
Rfam family: Bacterial small subunit ribosomal RNA
Source: RNAcentral
GAGUUUGAUCCUGGCUCAGAUUGAACGCUGGCGGCAGGCCUAACACAUGCAAGUCGAGCGGAAACGGCAGUAUUGAAGCUUCGGUGGAUUUACUGGACGUCGAGCGGCGGACGGGUGAGUAACGGCUGGGAACCUGCCCUGACGAGGGGGAUAACCGUUGGAAACGACGGCUAAUACCGCAUAAUGUCUUGAUUCGUUAGAGUCAGGACCAAAGGUGGCCUCUACAUGUAAGCUAUCGCGUUGGGAUGGGCCCAGUUAGGAUUAGCUAGUUGGUAAGGUAAUGGCUUACCAAGGCAACGAUCCUUAGCUGGUUUGAGAGGAUGAUCAGCCACACUGGGACUGAGACACGGCCCAGACUCCUACGGGAGGCAGCAGUGGGGAAUAUUGCACAAUGGGGGAGACCCUGAUGCAGCCAUGCCGCGUGUGUGAAGAAGGCCUUCGGGUUGUAAAGCACUUUCAGCAGUGAGGAAGGUCGUGUACUUAAUACGUGAACGGCUUGACGUUAGCUGCAGAAGAAGCACCGGCUAACUCCGUGCCAGCAGCCGCGGUAAUACGGAGGGUGCGAGCGUUAAUCGGAAUUACUGGGCGUAAAGCGCAUGCAGGCGGUUUGUUAAGUCAGAUGUGAAAGCCCGGGGCUCAACCUCGGAACCGCAUUUGAAACUGGCAGGCUAGAGUCUUGUAGAGGGGGGUAGAAUUUCAGGUGUAGCGGUGAAAUGCGUAGAGAUCUGAAGGAAUACCAGUGGCGAAGGCGGCCCCCUGGACAAAGACUGACGCUCAGAUGCGAAAGCGUGGGUAGCAAACAGGAUUAGAUACCCUGGUAGUCCACGCCGUAAACGCUGUCUACUUGGAGGUUGAGGUUUUAGACUUUGGCUUUCGGCGCUAACGCAUUAAGUAGACCGCCUGGGGAGUACGGCCGCAAGGUUAAAACUCAAAUGAAUUGACGGGGGCCCGCACAAGCGGUGGAGCAUGUGGUUUAAUUCGAUGCAACGCGAAGAACCUUACCUACUCUUGACAUCCAGCGAAGCCUUUAGAGAUAGAGGUGUGCCUUCGGGAGCGCUGAGACAGGUGCUGCUUGGCUGUCGUCAGCUCGUGUUGUGAAAUGUUGGGUUAAGUCCCGCAACGAGCGCAACCCUUAUCCUUGUUUGCCAGCACGUAAUGGUGGGAACUCCAGGGAGACUGCCGGUGAUAAACCGGAGGAAGGUGGGGACGACGUCAAGUCAUCAUGGCCCUUACGAGUAGGGCUACACACGUGCUACAAUGGCAGAUACAGAGGGCAGCGAACUUGCGAAAGUAAGCGAAUCCCAAAAAGUGCGUCGUAGUCCGGAUUGGAGUCUGCAACUCGACUCCAUGAAGUCGGAAUCGCUAGUAAUCGUGGAUCAGAAUGCCACGGUGAAUACGUUCCCGGGCCUUGUACACACCGCCCGUCACACCAUGGGAGUGGGCUGCAAAAGAAGCAGGUAGUUUAACCUUCGGGGGGACGCUUGCCACUUUGUGGUUCAUGACUGGGGUGAAGUCGUAACAAGGUAACCAAUCUCUAGAG